GUCAAAGUAGCCAAAUGGUUAAGGCGAUGGACUGCUAAUCCAUUGUGCUCUGCAUGUGUGGUUUCGAAUCCCAUCCUCGUUG
This 82-nucleotide transfer RNA is filed under the name Mesitornis unicolor (brown roatelo). It matches the Rfam family "tRNA". Rfam says of the family: Transfer RNA (tRNA) molecules are approximately 80 nucleotides in length. Their secondary structure includes four short double-helical elements and three loops (D, anti-codon, and T loops). Lineage: Eukaryota; Metazoa; Chordata; Aves; Mesitornithiformes; Mesitornithidae. The record is from Rfam by way of RNAcentral.